Molecule: ribosomal RNA, 274 nt
Filed under: uncultured bacterium
Lineage: Bacteria
Description: partial 16S ribosomal RNA
Rfam family: Bacterial small subunit ribosomal RNA
Source: RNAcentral
AUACGGAGGGUGCAAGCGUUAAUCGAAAUUACUGGGCGUAAAGCGUACGUAGGCGGUUAUUUAAGUCAGAUGUGAAAGCCCCGGGCUUAACUUGGGAACUGCAUUUGAAACUGGGUAACUAGAGUUUAGUAGAGGGGAGUGGAAUUUCAGGUGUAGCGGUGAAAUGCGUAGAGAUCAGAAGGAACACCAGUGGCGAAGGCGACUUCCUGGACUAAAACUGACGCUGAGGUACGAAAGCGUGGGUAGCAAACAGGAUUAGAAACCCUAGUAGUCC